This 253-nucleotide ribosomal RNA is filed under the name uncultured bacterium. RNAcentral describes it as "partial 16S ribosomal RNA". It matches the Rfam family "Bacterial small subunit ribosomal RNA", at positions 524 to 776 of the family's 1533-position model. The record is from RNAcentral.
UACGGAGGGUGCAAGCGUUAUUCGGAAUUAUUGGGCGUAAAGGGCGCGUAGGCGGCUUUAUAAGUCUGAUGUGAAAGCCCGGAGCUUAACUCCGGAAGUGCAUUGGAUACUGUAAGGCUUGAGUAUGGGAGAGGGUAGUGGAAUUCCUGGUGUAGAGGUGAAAUUCGUAGAUAUCAGGAGGAACACCGGUGGCGAAGGCGGCUACCUGGACCAAUACUGACGCUGAGGCGCGAAGGCGUGGGGAGCAAACAGG